GCAGGAGGUAACGCCAAACAGCCACCAGCCAUGGUCUUCCUUUGGCAACAUGAGUUCAAAAAGAAGAUGAAAACAUAAAGAAUGUGUUUCACAGAACAAAAUGUAGAUGUACAUGAGGCUAAACAGUGAUGUCAGAGAAAACUGGACUAUGCACUCAAGAUCACAGGAAUUACUUUGCUAAAGGUAUGAGAAGUGGAAGAUGUUUGAGAAGCUCUGAUCUAUAAGAAGUGUACUUAUGAGCUCAUGGGGUGAGACUUCAACGAAAGCAAAACAACAUGAACAAUAAAACACAGUGAAAACCUAUUAAAGGCAUUGUGCACCAGGUGAACAUUCUACACAAUGCCUGCACUGGGGUCUGCUGUUACACGUGCCGUUGCAUGGUUACAGUUUACGAAAUUGAAAUCAAUAAGAAUGAUGAGGAAAAUAGCAGUUACUGUGAACAGAUAUGAACCUGUGAAAUGAAAACUCUGAAAUGGACACACUGAGUUCUAUGCAACUUACUUAACCUGGUAAAAAUGUCAUGCAUAUU
This is a long non-coding RNA of Mus caroli (Ryukyu mouse), 529 nucleotides long. RefSeq lists it as uncharacterized. NCBI's taxonomy places the organism in Eukaryota, Metazoa, Chordata, Mammalia, Rodentia, Muridae. The record is from RefSeq and is a predicted model, not a curated record.